This 253-nucleotide ribosomal RNA is filed under the name uncultured bacterium. Its description in RNAcentral is "partial 16S ribosomal RNA". It matches the Rfam family "Bacterial small subunit ribosomal RNA", at positions 524 to 776 of the family's 1533-position model. The record is from RNAcentral.
UACGGGGGGGGCAAGCGUUGUUCGGAAUUACUGGGCGUAAAGGGCUCGUAGGCGGCCAACUAAGUCAGACGUGAAAUCCCUCGGCUUAACCGGGGAACUGCGUCUGAUACUGGAUGGCUUGAGUUUGGGAGAGGGAUGCGGAAUUCCAGGUGUAGCGGUGAAAUGCGUAGAUAUCUGGAGGAACGCCGGUGGCGAAAGCGACUGUCUGGGGUGCCUGUGACGCUGAGGCGCGAAAGCCAGGGGAUCAAACGGG